Molecule: long non-coding RNA, 482 nt
Filed under: Theobroma cacao (cacao)
Lineage: Eukaryota; Viridiplantae; Streptophyta; Magnoliopsida; Malvales; Malvaceae
Description: long non-coding RNA (TCAC_LNC000523)
Source: RNAcentral
AGACUGGAUUACAUUUUAUUCGCCAUAUUAUGCUAUUGGAAUUUUUAUGGGUCUGGUGGUAUAUUAAACGGUCACUGCAGUGGUGGGGGUUUCCGUGGACUGCCUAUGAGAGGGGCACGGUAACUCAAUUAUAUACUUACCUCCGGGGGGAGAUGUUGGGUGAAGUAUCUCCUGAGGUAUGAUUUGAGUGCACCUCACGUUCGGGCCACCACGUGAGAGUGAGACUCAGCCAACGCCAAGGAACGACUAUGUUUCAAAAUAAAAAUAUGAUUUAUGCGGAAUAUGAAUUUUUAACAGCCUUGGCGGACUCGGUUGGAUACCCCUAGUCCAAGUGUCCUCUAGUAUAGGAUUUGGCAUGAGCCAAGUUUUGAGUAAUUCACGAGCCAUAUUGAUUAUUUGGUUGAAAUGAAUAUUCGUGAUGUGAAAAAUUUGCUGAAGUUAAUUAUUUUUAAUUGUCUCCAUUUACUCGCCUUUAGAUAGUU